CCCCGGCCUGCUGGGCGUGCCGGACCAGCGCCUCGACCGCCGGGCGCAGCCGGUCCCGGCCGGCGGCGACGCGUUCGUGCCCGCGGCCGGCGGC
RNAcentral lists this transfer RNA (94 nucleotides) under freshwater metagenome. RNAcentral's name for it is "tRNA-Arg". The record is from RNAcentral.